UCUUGAGAGCGGCGGACGGGUGAGUAAUGCCUAGGAAUCUGCCUGGUAGUGGGGGAUAACGUCCGGAAACGGACGCUAAUACCGCAUACGUCCUACGGGAGAAAGCAGGGGACCUUCGGGCCUUGCGCUAUCAGAUGAGCCUAGGUCGGAUUAGCUAGUUGGUGAGGUAAUGGCUCACCAAGGCGACGAUCCGUAACUGGUCUGAGAGGAUGAUCAGUCACACUGGAACUGAGACACGGUCCAGACUCCUACGGGAGGCAGCAGUGGGGAAUAUUGGACAAUGGGCGAAAGCCUGAUCCAGCCAUGCCGCGUGUGUGAAGAAGGUCUUCGGAUUGUAAAGCACUUUAAGUUGGGAGGAAGGGUUGUAGAUUAAUACUCUGCAAUUUUGACGUUACCGACAGAAUAAGCACCGGCUAACUCUGUGCCAGCAGCCGCGGUAAUACAGAGGGUGCAAGCGUUAAUCGGAAUUACUGGGCGUAAAGCGCGCGUAGGUGGUUUGUUAAGUUGGAUGUGAAAGCCCCGGGCUCAACCUGGGAACUGCAUUCAAAACUGACAAGCUAGAGUAUGGUAGAGGGUGGUGGAAUUUCCUGUGUAGCGGUGAAAUGCGUAGAUAUAGGAAGGAACACCAGUGGCGAAGGCGACCACCUGGACUGAUACUG
Molecule: ribosomal RNA, 659 nt
Filed under: Pseudomonas sp. EECC-482
Lineage: Bacteria; Pseudomonadati; Pseudomonadota; Gammaproteobacteria; Pseudomonadales; Pseudomonadaceae
Description: bacterial SSU rRNA
Rfam family: Bacterial small subunit ribosomal RNA
Source: RNAcentral